AGUAUGUGCACACGUAAACAGUGUAAUGUAGGUUGCUCAUAUGCUUACCUUUCAGAUUGCCAUCAGUCCUCCACACCUGUCUCACCACAGCAGGACCAUCCGAGUCUGAGGGAAGGGGACGAGACGAUUUCAGACGCCAGGAGAUUCUUCUUGAAACCAAUGAACGAAAUGAAGGGAUGGCUCAGACUUCCAAUGAUGGCUCUUGACCGUGUUCCUCUGCUUCCAUGAUGGCUUCAUCCAGCAGAGAGAUGAGAGAGAUUAGACCAAGGAGAUAUCCGUCCUCCCUGUUUCCCUCCACCCAUGGAACAUCAUGCCUCAGCUGGACACCGUUUGGUGUUGGGAUGGUCUUUCCGAAAUCUAUCAUCCAUAUAUUAGCUUUGCCGUUGCAGUCAUGGACGAAGAGCAGAGAACUUCCUAUGAUCUGAGAUGUUUAGAGCUGUAUCCUCUCCCUCGCUGAAGACCUCGUCGCUCUCUGCUGAAGAGUUGUUGAAGGAAGAGGACGAUGAAGCUGAGGAGUAUAGGAGAACCCGAGAGAGGACAGGAUGAGGAACAUAGUCUUUCAUUUCUCUAUUCUGUUCCUCACCCUUUUUCUCCGUACCUCUGUUUAUAUAAAGUUCCCCAUCUCUUGAA
This is a non-coding RNA of Misgurnus anguillicaudatus (oriental weatherfish), 630 nucleotides long. NCBI's taxonomy places the organism in Eukaryota, Metazoa, Chordata, Actinopteri, Cypriniformes, Cobitidae. The record is from RefSeq and is a predicted model, not a curated record.